GUAGUUAGCCGGGGCUUCCUCCUUGGCUACCGUCACUUUCUUCGUCACCAAGGACAGAGGUUUACAAUCCGAAGACCUUCUUCCCUCACGCGGCGUUGCUGGGUCAGGCUUGCGCCCAUUGCCCAAUAUUCCCCACUGCUGCCUCCCGUAGGAGUCUGGACCGUGUCUCAGUUCCAGUGUGGCCGAUCAGCCUCUCAGCUCGGCUACCCAUCGUUGGCUAGGUGGGCCGUUACCCCGCCUACUACCUAAUGGGACGCGAACCCCUCCUUCUGCGGAUUGCUCCUUUGACCCCUGAGCCAUGCGACUCUGUGGUCUUAUGCGGUAUUAGCACUUGUUUCCAGGUGUUAUCCCCCUCAAAAGGGCAGGUUGUUCACGCGUUACUCACCCGUUCGCCACUAGCUAUAAAUCCGAAAACCUAUAGCCCGUUCGACUUGCAUGUGUUAGGCACGCCGCCAGCGUUCGUCCUGAGCCAUAGAUACAACUCUACGACUAGACGGCGGCGUCGGACGACGGCGACA
Molecule: ribosomal RNA, 518 nt
Filed under: uncultured bacterium
Lineage: Bacteria
Description: partial 16S ribosomal RNA
Source: RNAcentral